GGUAAUGAAAAUGAGAGUCACACAAAAUAGAGAGUUAGUCAAUAAAGUGAUAUGAAGAUGAUGAUGGACUGUCAUAGCCAUAGCCAUGGCUUCUACUCUCAGUCUCACUCCCUCCAUAACCACCACUUCUCGUUCCUAUCUUUCACACACCAGACACAGUUUUCGAUAUCCCACAAUUAAGUUACCUUCUUUCAACAAUAAUAACUGUAAUAACAACCGUGUUUCCUUCAAGGUUUCAGCUUCAUCUUCAUCAUCUUCUUUUCAAGCUCUCAUAUUUGACUGUGAUGGUGUCAUCUUAGAAUCAGAGCAUUUAUAAUGAUGCAUUUCUUCACUUCAAUGUUCGUUCUCCUUCUUCUUCUUCUUCUUCUCAACCACUCAACUGGGAUAUUCAAUUAUAUGAUCAACUUCAGAACCAAAUUGGUGGUGGCAAACCCAAAAUGCAGUGGUUCUCUUUCUUUUGUUCUUCCAACUUUACUUCUUAGUAUUACUAUUAUUAUUAUUAUUAUUAUUAUUAUGUUAUGUUUGUGAAUUGUGAUUGUGUGUUUUUCUGUUUUUGGAAAUUUUAAGGUACUUUAAGGAACAUGGUUGGCCUUCAUCAACGUUAUUCGAAACUCCUCCAACUAGUGAUGAACAACGAGCCGAGUUAAUUGACACUCUUCAGGUGUUUUAUGCUUUUCUUACUGUCAUGUGUUUGACAUCAGACACGACACGCUUUUAAUCUGAAGUGUUAGUAAUUCGUAGUUAGAGAUAUCUGCUCAUCCUUUGUUUUGAUUAUUGUUAGAGUUCGAUGGUUACUGCAUUGGAAGUACUUAGGUUUUAUGUCCCACAUUGGUUAGAUGAAAUAACAAGUACUUAGGUUUUUGAUAUAAAACAAGAGUUCAUUCUCUUAACAAAUCAUACCUUUCUCGGCCUUUUGGCUAAGAUCAAGUGUAGUAUCUGUUCUUAUCAGUUUAAUAUCUGAUAUGUGGACCAAUGGUUCACACGAUAUUAAAUUUAUUUUUUGAGGGGGAGAGUCCGCCACAAUAGCUUGCUAUUGGGUUUCUCAAGUGUCGCUUUUGUGUUGCACUAUUGCAAUUGCCUGGCACACCCCACCAAAGAAGUCUAAAGUUUUUUUGCCUUCUUUUCAUGGUUAAGUACUUAUUUGAAUAAGUAAUUACUGCUUAAACAGGUGCCUUUAUUUGUGUUAAAUUGAUCUAUUUGAUUCCGUAUGGCAUGAAGGAUCCAAUUAAGUGAUUGCUUUAGUUGAAGUUUUGUUAAGUGAGGAUAUCAAGUUUAUGCACCUACGAAAGUGCUUAUGUUGAAUGCAUAACUCGCUUAUUUUUGUUUUUUAAACAAAUAAUCUCUCAAUUGUUACCUCACUAAGAGAAUGGUGUCCAUUUUAUUGUUCAUGUAGGAUUGGAAGACAGAGAGAUACAAAGAUAUAAUCAAGUCCGUCUCCGUAAGCAGAUUUCUAUAUACUCCCUCUCCGUAAGUUAGAUUUUAUAUUAAGAAAUUAUAUUCAUGGCAAAUGACCUGACUCUGAGUUGGUAAGCUAGCAGCAAAAUUGGGGUAACAUAUCUAAAGAGCUCAAUAAAGUAAUUGAAAAUCCUUUGGAUAUCACUCCAAGACAACAAAAUAUAUUAAGUGAAGGCUGGACUCUUAUCAUGGAACAGUGAUCAAGCUGGAUAUACACGAAAUUGACGAGGAUGUCGAAGUUUUACCUAGCCAUGAUUCAGUUGAAGGUAAUCUGAGAGGAGCAGAUAUACAUGUUGUUUGUAACAAUUCAAGUUUAUAGUAUAGAAGGCUCAGUACUUGAUAUGUCUUUCACCUUGUCUUGGGUAUUUCUUCCUUCUUCCUUCUUUUUAAUCUCAUUUGUUUUUGUAUUUCAGGUUCAUUGAUAAUAAUCAUUAGGUAGUAGUUAAUAGUAUUGUAGCUUGUCUUCAAUUUUGUUCCCUUCUAUUUUGAGAAUCAAUUUAAAUGAGUUAGGUACUGUAACUAGCAUUAGAUUUUUCCUCAUGAUUAUCUGUUAUGUUCUGGAUUGAUUAGUGCUUUCUCUCUUUGAGCAUUUUUUUAUAAUUAGUUUCCUCACCAGCUACAAAUCAUGUUUUAUGAGGGAAAUUGUGUGUAUUGGACAAGUGGAAUUGAUGGUUUUCCGGCCUUGUCGUUGCUUGUCAAGUUGUCAUCACUUUCUCCUCCCAAUCUUUACAGCUGCAAAGUAUUUAGCUUGAUAGAUAAAUGUUGUGUUUGUGCGAUCGAACCUAAAGAUCCACCUUCUAGGCAAUGAGAGAAAUGCUUUGCCAGGUGGACUUCAAGAAAGUCGAGCACAAGUGAAAAUAUCAAGACAAAAUCAAACAAGCUCUUCUAAUCAUAUGAGAGUACCUUGCAUUUGGUGAUAAGACAUAAAUUUUGUUCAUAUGUGUUAGAGAAAUUUUCCGCAGGUUCAGUUGUUAAGACAGAUAUCCCCAAAAUCAUGGCCAUAGCACUCCAAUUCUUCAUCAUGUGUAAACCAAUGCCUUGUAUUUGAUGGUUGAAAUUGCAUUCCCCGUUUAUAUGCUAUGCAUUUGUUUUGAGUCAGACAGUGUGUACAUAUAUGCUAAUAUAGAAUAAUGCCUUCUUUAUGUGUUUGGUCGGGUUUAAAAAAUUCGAUAAUGCCUUCAAUAAUAAUAGUAAUGAGAUUUUGAUUGAAAAUGAUUGUUAUAGGAAAUGUUGCAUAUUGAACUCAUCAUCGCCAAGCCAAUUGUUUCUCAAUCCUAAGAAUUGAAAAAGAUAUCAAGCUGAUUUCAUUGUUGUGAAGAGACCAGAAUUCAGGUUCUUAUUCCCAACAAGUACUGAUCUUGUCUUGUAACUUGCAAUGUAUCCCAACCAUUCCUUCUCUUCAGCGUCCUAUACGGAUAUGUUCACCGUGAAUUCUCCUUUGUUACCUCACAACUACUACAAUGAAUUUGUAGCAGGACAAAAUGAAGCUAAGUUUAUCACAGCUAUGGGUGACACACAGUGACUAUGCAGUUCAUUGAUACACAUUCCAAUGCUUGCAACUCUAACGUAGAUUUUGACCAAAAUAUGCAGUGCCAAGAGUUAUCUCUUAGUCUCGGUACACUAUUGCCUUCUACUGCAUCUGUCCCUCCAUUUCAAUAUCAGUAUCACGACAUCGGUUUUGUUUCACUUAUGAAUGCUUGUCUCCCAAAGGGAACUACAAUAUCCAAUGAUGAUGAGUUGAAAAAUGUUGAAUGUAUGGCAUCUACAUCUUCUGGAGGCUUUCAUGACUUUGUUUUGAUGAUGCUUUUUUUCUUUGUUUUUGGAAGUUUUUUAAGGUUGAUAUGUAUCUACUUUGAAUGCUAUAAAGGAGGGAGUGGAAUUUUUGUACAAAUUGGUGUUCUUAGUGUUGUGAAUACUUAUAGAGUCACUUACAUAUUAUCCAAAUUGGUGUUCUUAGUGUUCUUGGUGUUCUUAGUGUUGUGAAUACUUAGUGUUUUGAAUCAUGUACUAGGUAUAUGUUUGAGUUGGAAAUAUUGAUAUACUUUCAUGUCCCAAAAAAAUGAAGGGAUUUUUUUAUCCUUCUAUGUGAAAAUAACAAUUGAAUACUUGAACAAGAGUAGUAAUGUUGUAUUUUUUAUUUUUGUUUAGUUUUUUUUCAUGAAGUUUGAUAUGAUAAAAAUGAAUUGUGUUCAAUGAGGAAGUGUAUAUGUAUCUGCCAAUUAAUUUGGAUUUGGCAUCUAAGCUUUUAACAGACAUGAAUGAAAUUAGUCUCUAGGAGAAGACUUGUGAGGUAUACUACGUAAUAACUUUACAAACUGGAAAUAAGUUUCCUUAAAGAAUAGUUUCAUAUAUUACUUUGAUUUUUAUUUAUUGUUUUGAAAAUUAAGAAUGGGAUGGUUAUUAUUUUUAAUCUUAAUUAAUUAAUAAUAACAUAAAUAAGUCAAUAUGUCAAUGUUGGCUAUCUUAGUCAAUUGACAAUGAUUCACCUUAAAUUUCACAAUAACUUCAAUUUAAAUUACAGUGUUUAACGGAAAGACUUAGUUGAUGGAUGAUAUGUAAGUAACUCCAUCAUCACUCUUAAUUUAAACAUUGAGAUUUUCUCAAACUCUGGUGAGCCUCGAGGUCCAACUCCCCUAAUUUUUCUUUUAAAUAAAAAAACCAAUAUAUUAAAGAGACAUAAUAUAUAUAAUCAAAAAUAUUUUUAAUACAAAUAAAAAAUAUUAAUUAAUUAUAUCUUUUGCACUUAAAAUAAAGUAAUCAAUUACUAAUUUGUUUAUUUAGGGGAAAAAAAAACAAAGUUAACAUAAAGAGAGGGUAAUGGAAAUGAGAGCCACACAAAAUAGAGAGUUGAUCAAUAAAGUGAUAUGAAGAUGAAGAUGAAGAUGAUGAUGUUGUCAUAGCCAUGGCUUCUACUCUCACUUUCACUCCCUCCAUCACCACCACAUCCCGUUCCUAUCUUUCACACACCAAACACAGUUUUCGAUAUCCCAUAGUUAAGUUACAUUCUUUCAACAAUAAUAACUGUAAUAACAACCGUGUUUCCUUCAAGGUUUCAGCUUC
RNAcentral lists this long non-coding RNA (4515 nucleotides) under Trifolium pratense (red clover). RNAcentral's name for it is "long non-coding RNA (TPRA_LNC001257)". The stretch from base 897 to 1092 matches the Rfam family "U2 spliceosomal RNA". Lineage: Eukaryota; Viridiplantae; Streptophyta; Magnoliopsida; Fabales; Fabaceae. The record is from RNAcentral.